RNAcentral lists this ribosomal RNA (354 nucleotides) under uncultured Glomeraceae. RNAcentral's name for it is "SSU rRNA". It matches the Rfam family "Eukaryotic small subunit ribosomal RNA", at positions 569 to 929 of the family's 1831-position model. The record is from RNAcentral. Lineage: Eukaryota; Fungi; Glomeromycota; Glomeromycetes; Glomerales; Glomeraceae.
AGCAGCCGCGGUAAUUCCAGCUCCAAUAGCGUAUAUUAAAGUUGUUGCAGUUAAAAAGCUCGUAGUUGAAUUUCGGGGUCAGUAGGCUGGUCGUGCCACUGGUACGUACUGGUCUCACUGAUUCCUCCUUCCUGAAGAACCGUAAUGCCAUUAAUUUGGUGUUGCGGGGAAACAGGACUGUUACUUUGAAAAAAUUAGAGUGUUCAAAGCAGGCUUAUGUCUGAAUACAUUAGCAUGGAAUAAUAAAAUAGGACGGUGGUCCUGUUUUGUUGGUUUCUGAAUCACCGUAAUGAUUAAUAGGGAUAGUUGGGGGCAUUAGUAUUCAAUUGUCAGAGGUUAAAUUCUUGGAUUUAU